GGCGUUGUGGUCUAGUGGUAUGAUUCCUGCUUUGGGGAGCUUCUCAAGCAUGCAGGAGGUCGUGAGUUCAUCCUAAUCAUCGUCG
This is a non-coding RNA of Pestalotiopsis sp. NC0098, 85 nucleotides long. Lineage: Eukaryota; Fungi; Ascomycota; Sordariomycetes; Amphisphaeriales; Sporocadaceae. The record is from the annotation of a GenBank genome assembly.